CCUACGGGGGACAGCAGUGGGGAAUAUUGCACAAUGGGGGGAACCCUGAUGCAGCGACGCCGCGUGAGUGAAGAAGUAUUUCGGUAUGUAAAGCUCUAUCAGCAGGGAAGAAAAUGACGGUACCUGACUAAGAAGCCCCGGCUAACUACGUGCCAGCAACCGCGGGAAUACGUAGGGGGCAAGCGUUAUCCGGAUUUACUGGGGGUAAAGGGAGCGCAGACGGCUGUGCAAGUCUGGAGUGAAAGGCGGGGGCCCAACCCCCGUACUGCUCUGGAAACUGGAAAGCUGGAGUGCAGGAGAGGUAAGCGGAAUGCCUAGUGUAGCGGUGAAAUGCGUAGAUAUUAGGAGGAACACCAGUGGCGAAGGCGGCUUACUGGACUGCAACUGACGUUGAGGCUCGAAAGCGUGGGGAGCAAACAGGAUUAGAUACCCCAGUAGUC
This 440-nucleotide ribosomal RNA is filed under the name uncultured bacterium. Its description in RNAcentral is "partial 16S ribosomal RNA". It matches the Rfam family "Bacterial small subunit ribosomal RNA", at positions 338 to 795 of the family's 1533-position model. The record is from RNAcentral.